AUUACAUACAAGAAAACUAAGCUGGGGCUGUUACUUUAAAACUCCAUUUCCCCAACUGUGUGUUUGCUUGCAAGUGAGCCACUUUUUUUUUUUUUUUCCUAGUGGUUUUGUGUGCUGCUGUCUCAUGUCUCAUAGAAGAGCAAGAGUGGCUAGACAACAUGUGAAGAAGCACUACUCUAGAUUACCUCAGGAGCCUGGAGUUUUGUCCUUACCCUUUGCUGCCUGGCCACAGCACAGCUGCAUGUGGUGAAGGUGACGCAGUCAGAACUUGGCAAAAUAGAAGCUGUGCGUCAUUUAACUUACCUAGGUGAUUGAUGGAGCAGAAAAACUAACGACCCAUGAAGGAACAAAUGUUUCUCAAACAAAAGGUAAAUAAAUCUGAUAAUGGAGCUGUAAGGAUGGGUGAAAAUCAGAGGUUGUAAGUGCCCUUAAAUCCCCCUGAAACUGCAGCCUCAGACCUUCUGCAUGAAUUUCUAUGGGGAGAAGAAAAGCAAUAACUUUGGGAGUGUCAAAAGCUGUGAUGCAGAGAAAAUUAAUGUUUACAUCAUUUUUAAAUGCAUACAGUUUGUAAUACACAUUGAGAGCUAGCUGAGGACACAAUUGCAAAAUGCAUUGUAUUGUAAGUGCACUGCAACGGCUGCAGAGAGCCCCUGGAUCAUAUUGACGGGAUGGCACGCCAGCUGGAUCCAACUAAGAAUUCCUCAUCAAGGUGUGUUUAAACUCCGAGAAUACAAAAUCUUUUUCCAUUAAGUAUGAUAGCUACGUAGUCAUUUUUAGUGUUCUCUUUUCUCAUGCUAUUCGCUUUAUUGCUGUCCACCUUGGGAUUCCUGCUACUAUGGGAUUUCUUACUGGGCUGAUGCUUGGCCAAUAUUUGUCCAACUUCUCUUUUUUUUGUCUCCUGUGAAAACUGUCUGAAACUAAGCAGAAACUAACCUUAAUUUAUUUCUUUAAUAAACAAAAUUAAGAUACUGCAUAUUAAUAAAAAAUGAAAAGUAUUCCCUUGUUGGUUUUCUUUUUUUUUUUUUUUUUUUUUAAGUUUCCCAAAACAGUCCCAUAUCUCUGUCAAAGUUAACGUAACUAGAAUUUCCAUGGGAAUUUGUGUUGAUCUGGGGAAACUGGAACUGGCUAAUGUAAAUAACUAUAGCCCAUCCUCCA
This 1155-nucleotide long non-coding RNA is filed under the name Cairina moschata (Muscovy duck). Its description in RNAcentral is "domestica (muscovy Duck (domestic type)) lncRNA (ENSCMMG00000001152.1)". The record is from RNAcentral. Lineage: Eukaryota; Metazoa; Chordata; Aves; Anseriformes; Anatidae.